This 341-nucleotide ribosomal RNA is filed under the name uncultured Woronina. RNAcentral's name for it is "SSU rRNA". The stretch from base 69 to 341 matches the Rfam family "Eukaryotic small subunit ribosomal RNA", at positions 688 to 955 of the family's 1831-position model. The record is from RNAcentral. Lineage: Eukaryota; Endomyxa; Phytomyxea; Plasmodiophorida; Plasmodiophoridae.
GACAUGUGUGCGCUGAUGUUUAGCGGUCUGCACUCAAAAGAGUGUUACGACAUGCGACAUCGGUGCCGUAAAAUCUUCAACUGGAUCGUGCCUGGUCUUGAUUGAUUGGGCGCUGUUCAUUCGGUUGAUCGUUUACUGUGAGAAAAUUGGAGUGUUCAAGGCAGGCGUGGAUUGCAACUGAACAUGUUAGCAUGGAAUAAUAAGAUAGGGCUCCGGCUCAUAUUUUGUUGGUUUCUAGAGCGUGGGAGUAAUGAUUGAUAGGGACAGUUGGGGGUGCUAGUAUUCAGCGGCCAGAGGUGAAAUUCAUGGAUUCGCUGAAGACUAACUUAUGCGAAAGCAUU